Molecule: unclassified non-coding RNA, 1090 nt
Filed under: Hevea brasiliensis (rubber tree)
Lineage: Eukaryota; Viridiplantae; Streptophyta; Magnoliopsida; Malpighiales; Euphorbiaceae
Source: RNAcentral
UUUGAGAAUAGUCAAAGCUGAGGGGUUGCUGACAGAAUGGGGCCUGAAAAGCAGAAUGCCUGAGCUGGUUGUAGGAAUGGGCAUACAUCAUUGCAGCACUCUGCCACUGUUCAUAAGAAGCAUCUCUAGAUGCCUGGUUUAAACCCAUUGCGCAGAAAGGGCUUACAACAGGACUCGGAUGAGGCCCAUAGUUAACUGAAGCUUGAGUUCCUGGCAUAUGACCCAUGAGAGAAUAACCAGAAUCAUAUUGUACAAAUGGAGGCUGAAUUUUUUGCAUAAUAAAGGGAGCCAAGCUUAAGUUUUGAUUGGUUGGAAGGUUCCUAAUAUACCUAUCAUAAUUGCGAUCAUAAUCAGGGUCACUACGAUCCUUUUCCCUAUCUUUGAAAAUGGCAACCCGAGAAGUCAUGCCAUCCCUGCCAUUAAAUUUUUCCAAAUCACCACCCAAAGUUCUACAACCUUCAGUCUCAUCCCUGUUUGAGCAUGCAUACUUUCCUUCAGAUGGGGUUUGAGAUAUUGUAUCAUCAAUCUCAGGACUACUUGGGGAGCUGAAGAUCCGAGCUCGUGCCCUAUCAUAUUCCUCCUUUCUCUCUUCCACGCUUCUGACAGAACUUUGUUUGUGACCUCCUUCAUUGGCAGAAUUGCCAGACAUUUUGUUAGGCCUAGGUCUGAUGACAAUUUUGACCUGCUCAUGUUUCUCAUUGUCCAAUUGCUUCGCAGGUAUUUCAGAUAAACGCACAGAAGGGAGUCUGUUUUCCACCGUUUUACGAACCAAGAUCCUAUUUCCAAAACCAUCUAUGCCAGAGUCCUGAACCAUGGUUUGAAGGCCAUAAUGUUGAGCAACACGAUGAGCAGCAAGUCGAAGGUAUGAAGUAGGAAAAUGCUGGAACUCAAAAAGCUGCUGAUCGGGAUUAUGCAAAAACUUCUGAAUGUCAAGUUCCAUUCGUAAAAUGGUGAGACGAUGUCGAGGGUUCUGAAGAGCCUCAACCAAGAAGGGGUCAACCAUUGACUCCUUGUCCUUGAACCCUUGUGGGGUUGGAUCAAAGGAAGCAGAUUCCAUGGAAGAGAGGUCUCUGAAACAGUUGGGUUUCUG